UACGUAGGGGCCAAGCGUUGUCCGGAAUUACUGGGCGUAAAGCGCGCGUAGGCGGUGAAAUAAGUCAGUUGUAAAAGGUAUAAGCUCAACUUAUAUAUUGCAACUGAUACUGUUUUGCUAGAGAGCGGGAGAGGAAAGCGGAAUUCCUGGUGUAGCGGUGAAAUGCGUAGAUAUCAGGAGGAACACCGGUGGCGAAAGCGGCUUUCUGGACCGAUUCUGACGCUGAGGUGCGAAAGCUAGGGGAGCAAACAGG
RNAcentral lists this ribosomal RNA (253 nucleotides) under uncultured bacterium. Its description in RNAcentral is "partial 16S ribosomal RNA". It matches the Rfam family "Bacterial small subunit ribosomal RNA", at positions 524 to 776 of the family's 1533-position model. The record is from RNAcentral.